This 416-nucleotide ribosomal RNA is filed under the name uncultured bacterium. RNAcentral describes it as "bacterial SSU rRNA". It matches the Rfam family "Bacterial small subunit ribosomal RNA", at positions 362 to 776 of the family's 1533-position model. The record is from RNAcentral.
UAUUGGUCAAUGGCCGGAAGGCUGAACCAGCCAAGCCGCGUGAGGGAGGAAGGCGCAGAGCGUCGCAGACCUCUUUUGCCGGGGGACAAAAGGCCGGACGUGUCCGGUCCUGAGGGUACCCGGAGAAAAAGCAUCGGCUAACUCCGUGCCAGCCGCCGCGGUAAUACGGAGGAUGCGGGCGUUAUCCGGAUUUAGUGGGUUUAAAGGGUGGGUAGGCGGGCUUUUAAGUCAGCGGUAAAAAUUCGGGGCUCAACCCCGUCCGGCCGUUGAAACUGGGGGCCUUGAGUGGGCGAGAAGAAGGCGGAAUGCGUGGUGUAGCGGUGAAAUGCAUAGAUAUCACGCAGAACCCCGAUUGCGAAGGCAGCCUUCCGGCGCCCUACUGACGCUGAGGCACGAAAGUGCGGGGAUCGAACAGG